RNAcentral lists this long non-coding RNA (2477 nucleotides) under Physcomitrium patens. RNAcentral's name for it is "long non-coding RNA (PPAT_LNC006345)". Lineage: Eukaryota; Viridiplantae; Streptophyta; Bryopsida; Funariales; Funariaceae. The record is from RNAcentral.
UACACAAAGAUAUCUUCUCAUAUACACCAUUAAUAGUAGAAUAGACCCAUAUCUGUGUCGUAAACCUCAUUUGUGAAAUUUUGUUCCAUAAAGCGCAAACUUCUAUUUCUCUAAGGCAUAAUGUUCAUCACACAAAUAUUGUGUUUCUUUAAUGUUUUAUCGUCAUUGAAAACUAUCCGAAUAAGAUAAUUAACGUGCACAACACAUAGUCAUGCACUUCAUAAUCAUUUCAUCGAUACUUUCAUACAAAAUGCCUCAAUUGUCUUCAAUAGUCGUAACCUAUACAGUUAGUGGGGUUCAGGAAAUUGCCUACAGCAGUAGUUUUUGGUGAUGAUAUCAAGAUAACACCGACAAUUACAUGUGUUUUGAGCGGAAACAACUUCCAAUGGCAACCCGCUCCUGACUUACGGGCAUCAAGUGCCACUGAACAUCACCACAGGUGAGGCCCAACAAGAUCUGCAAGGAAGAAAUAGACGAAGCAUUUAGUAUGAGAGAUUAGUUUACAGUUUGUAGGGAUAGAAACAGAAAACAAAAAUAAACAAAAAAAAAAAUUCGUUCGUUCAAGAUACGAGGUCCUCGAUCACCGUGAAAUGCUCACUGCUUCCUGAUUCAUGCAUGCGUCAAGUCUUACUUCAGUUACAAGACUUCUUCAUAAUGCAAAAACAAGAACAAGCUUUCAAGUCAAUCGAAAGUCACGAAAGACGUCAUGACUGCUACACGAGUAAUACAGAUUAGUUUAAAAUAUAUAAUUUAUAAAAAAAUUGAGAAAUUACAUGCGUAAUCUCCAACCUGCUCCAACUUCCGAGCAGAUUUCAAAGCUGUUUGCAAUCACAAUUAAUUCACAACAAUAAAAGGAAUGCUCUUAGACAGCUCAGCCAAACGAAAUCUUGGUCGUGUGCUACAUGAGUAAGUCACCUUCAUUAGUGGAGUAUGUAACAUGAAAGUUAGACGGAUCCUUCAAAGCAAUGCUAAUUAGCUGAAAAGCCAGAAAAGACGUAGAUUGAAAGGCUUCAGCUGGACUGGGUAAAAGCAGGAGCCAUAAAGAUAAGUUUUGCUAAAAGUCACUAAGCGGAACAAGACCAAAAGUGUUGAGUCUGCGCUCCUUCAUUGGAAUUCGCAAUCGACGUACUGAACUGAAGAAUCUUGAAGCAUACGAUCAAUGAAGUCGAUAUGGCUGAUAGUAACAUAGGAAAAAAAAAUGGUUGUCGGCUCCGCAAAGCUGCGGCAGUGGCUUAGAACAAACCUGCUGCAAGGGUGAGUACUAUAAAAUAAUUGACGAACUUACGAAAUCACAAUAUGUGAAAAGCUCAUACAGCCUGCAAGUGAAGUAAACCUCCAUCUAUUCAAUGUUUACAAAAGGUCACGAGAAGGCAGUAUGAUGCAAAGACGAAAAUCAUGUGUGGGAAUGAGGAGGAAAUUAUAGCUUUCACCGUCUCUCUUUCAUCCCACACUAGAGAGUCACCACCCUUUUCGAUACGAAACCUGCAACGGAGUAAUCCUUGUCUGUACACGUAAAUUCAUUGUAAGCGCCUUGGGCUUCAGGGGACUCCAAAAAAUCACACACUAGGAAAGAUUAAACAUCGAGGAGGAUCGAACCUCACAAUCACUUGUCAAGCACGAUCAUAAUCCUGAGAAGCUUUCGCUAAAACUGGAUGGUUAUAAACUACGUUCUUAAGUUAAAUAUCUUAGCUGUUAAUAAGACGUAUGUAGCUGAAUCACAUGCAACAGUGGUAUAAUACUUGGAAACAGAAAACCGUACAAUAUCUGAAAUCCAGAGCUAAAACAAGAAAAAACCAAAUUGUUUCACCCAAAACUCUCCAUGAAAUGUUUGGCUUACGCAAUGCGCAUGAGAUUUCGGCAUGUCACCAUACACAACUAUUCAGAUGCACAAUGUAAUUUCGAGCAGAACAUCAGAAAUUCAGCAUUCAGAAACCCGACAAUUGAAUAAAUAAACUCCACUAAUUCACACCAGAAACCAAUAGUAAAGCCACUUCACAACCUCUCUCAAAUCACAUCCUACCACUUCAUAUGCUUCAACCCGCAUGACCUAUUGACGGUCAUCAAACCACUGAAUGAAAAAUAUUUAAUAUAUAUAUAUAUAUAUAUAUAUAUAUAUCGUUGUAAACAUUGUGCGUGGGCAAUGUCAUGAAGUGCGAGUACCUACUAAAUACUCGAAAAAUGCAAGACACAGAGCUAACAACAGCUUCACAUUCUCCAUGUCCCCGCCCCUCAAGCCCCGACUCAGACCUCACAUCUGCCUUCAUUUCUACCCGUUGCACCCAUCCCCACUCUCAUGUAUGUGCUACAAAAUGAACUGCAUCUGCGACUGACCAAAGCUCCAAAAUCUGCGUGAUGAGAAGAAGCGCGGAUGUGUGAAGAUCAAUCCUCCUGGUGAAGGGCGAAGAGAAGCGAAGCGAGAGGGGGAACCUCCAUCGCCAUAGCUGGAGUUGGAGAACCAUUCACCUCCUCGCUUCUUU